This 96-nucleotide transfer RNA is filed under the name Populus nigra (black poplar). Its description in RNAcentral is "tRNA-Ser". It matches the Rfam family "tRNA". Rfam says of the family: Transfer RNA (tRNA) molecules are approximately 80 nucleotides in length. RNAcentral also lists the same sequence under 28 other names. The record is from RNAcentral. Lineage: Eukaryota; Viridiplantae; Streptophyta; Magnoliopsida; Malpighiales; Salicaceae.
GGAGAGAUGGCCGAGUGGUUGAUAGCUCCGGUCUUGAAAACCGGUAUAGUUCUUUCCGAACUAUCGAGGGUUCGAAUCCCUCUCUCUCCUUUUCUC